RNAcentral lists this small RNA (6186 nucleotides) under Rattus norvegicus (Norway rat). Its description in RNAcentral is "uncharacterized LOC102552287". Lineage: Eukaryota; Metazoa; Chordata; Mammalia; Rodentia; Muridae. The record is from RNAcentral.
CCUGCCUCAUUUUCUUCACUAUGAAAAGCUCUGACAUGACAUCAUAAGUUCACUGUGUCAAACCAUAAUAAAGCCCUAAUUAAACGCUUCCUGUUCAAAGAAUUGCCUUGGUCAUGAUAGUUCUACACAGCAAUAAUUAGUAACUAAGACACCUGCUGAGGACUUGUCCAGGAAUAUAACACAUACCAGUAUUAUCUUUUGGGAUGUGUAAUCACAUUUCAGUCAUACAUGACUUUAUGAAUGGCCACGUGUAGGAAACGCGUGGCACUCUUUCUGAACUAAGAGUCUUGGAAAUAGUCGUCAUCAUUUCUGGGUUGUAUGCUUUCAACCGCCCACAUUGCAGCCAGACAGGGCUGUUCUAGCCUUCCUUUCUAGAUUGUUGUCUACUCUGUCUCUUUUAAAACAUGGUUUCUAAGAUUAAUAUUGGCUUUCAUCUGCCUUAUAACAUCAUUUUCCCUCUUAGCCAAUCAGCACCUGAUAGAAUCUUGAGGUUACCAUGGAGCUGAGUAAACAAUUCUGGUCCAGUGUUCAGUUGAUCUGCUUCAUCGCACACGUGAUUUGUUUUUCUUGCGAAACCCAAUAACCCGUUUCCUUAUCCCUUUAUCCAGAACCUAUACCUCUACCUGUAUUCCUGCCUCCACAAUGUCAGGAGAGAAGCUUUUGAUACCUAGGCACUCACAACAACAGAGUCUAGGAAAUAAAAGAUCAUUUUCUGCUGAAACAGCAAAUGUAAACAUCCAUGACAUGAUGAUGUCACUCUCCCUCCAAACGAGCCGUUCCAAAUUUUAAGUGCUCUUGGGCAGAACAUUGAAAUCAACAACAAUUUUUCCUUGGCCACAUACAUGAGUUUGAGAAAGAUCUCAUCAAAAUGGCAGCGAAACAGGAUAAAUGUGGAGAAGAAAAAGCAGCCUUUGUGCCAAAUCAUAAAUUUCUAACGUGAGAAACCUGCAGUUUCUAUCUCCUUUCCUGAGACUCCUCACUAUCUCAUCCUGCUUUUCUAUAUAGAUUUCUUUCCUUGCUGACGCCCAUGGAAUCUGUGGACGUCAACUUGUACUCAGAUGUCUGGCAGUGCACACAUAUGUUUUUCCUUGCAGUCGAAAGAUAUGGGGAACAAAAGUGCUGAUAUCAUAAAUAAAUAAUUUCAUUAGUAGUAUACUUAGUUCUUAAGCCUUGUGCACACAUAGUACAGCUCACAGGGGAAGAAAGGUUGGAAGAAAAACAGGGUGUCGCUGAACUAGUGAGUAUUUAGACUUCCAAAUCUCCUCUCAAGCAGAUACAUAGUUGUCUCUGAUGGGUGGCCAAGACUCUUGAGGUGUAUGGGGGAGAGGUAGGCCUUCCUGUAGCUACACAGUCACCAGAGGAUGGUGGACCACCUGGAGUCAGUGUGGUUAAGCAGAGCUUGCCUUCUACAGACUGUUCAUCAUAUUGGGUAGGCAGAAGAAAAAUAAAUUACAGAGCUGUCACCAAGAAAUAACCUAAAAAGCCUUAGUGACAAGGGGUGCUUUGCCUUUGAAUAACAGAAUAACAGAAAAUGUCACACAAAGCAUGAAUGGCCCUGAGUUUGGUCAAAGAGUACAUAUGAAGUUACCCGUGACUCUAAGGUACUCAGAGAUUGGGUUGCAAGGGAGGAAUUUUUCUGAUCAUGACUUCAUUGAUCUCCAGAAGACUGUGUGCAUAGCUUCACCUUCCUCUUUCACAGAGGACAAAGCUCUGAUUUACAGAUGAGCUCAGGUAGCGCAGUUUGCAUUAUUUAUAUUGUUCAACUCCUAGAACUGAGGUACUUUUCGUUGUCCAUUGGUGGUUUUCAGUAAAGUGCAGGCAUUCUCUUAAGACCAUAGUAAUCUCCCCUCAUUUCUUCCCUGUUCCAAAAGCAAAUAUCUCUUCCCAGGGACUCAUAUGUCAUCCCUGACAUCAGCUUUCCAUACUGAGUUUCUGGUCAUAUCUUCCUCUCAAGUAGAAUUUCUUACAGAGUUGAUCUUUUUUUUUGAAUUGUGGACAGAUCUGAGGGAUAAAGCAGUUUAGCAGAAUCUCAAGGUGCAGCAUUUGAUUAAAUGCCCACAGCACUAAGUAACCUCAGUGUCUCCUAUCAUUACCUAAUGAUCUGUGAGGUGAGGUGGUGCAAGUCUGCUAAGCAAUAUACAGAGGAGCUGUGUGCAAAGAUUCAAAUCGUGAAUGGGAAUGGAAUAUAGAGACUGCUGUCUUUAUUUCCUAGUUUGAAGUUCAGGAGUACAACCUUUUACCUCAAGGCUCAGUGGGUCUACCUGGUCCCUUCUGAGUGCUGAGAUGGCGAACAUGCACUGUGUCAGACUAGCUGUGCUCGUUGACAAGUAAUGUUUGCUGAAUGUGCCAGGUUAGUGGAAGACUAAGGUACUUCUCUCUCCAGGCACAGGGAUGGGAAUGGAUGUUGGAUUUCAGGAUGUGAGUUUUUAAACUCCAGGAACUUCUGAAACCAUGCAUACUCAAGCCAAAUUUCCUCAAGUUCACAGUUGUAUAUUUCAAUUUAUCUGUGUAGCCUAGUCACUCUACUCUAUUCCUUUAGACUCUAUGUGUUGAAACUUCCCAAGGAAAGGAAAUAUAAAAACUAUGCUGCCAGUGCUAGAAGAGCAAACAUCAUCAAGGUGGGACUUCAUUCUCUAUGUGGCUAACCAAAUAUCUCCAGAGGAGUGCAAGGCUGCACAUAGAAAAGCCACAGAUGCUGACACUAGUUCAAAGGGAAGGAAAUGCUGCCUUAGGAGUUCAGUAAAGAGAAGGGGCUGGCAGGGAAUGGAGUUCAAGUCACAAAUGAGAUAUUGUUGCCUCUCCUUACUUGUUUUCUUUGUCUCUUUUCUGAUAUUAGAACUGUCCUGAUUCUCCAUUUUGGUAUUGUAUUGCAGACUAUAAAAAACAGGUUUGAGAGGGCAGAGGAGCUGAAGGAGAAGAUUCUAAGGGAGUACAAAGAAGAAUACACAAACUACCUGGAAGAAAAAAUCAGUGAGGAGGAGCAAGGAAACAGAAUUGUGUGUCAAGUACAUUGUCUUUUCCUAGUAGUUUUGUGCUGUUUCAGUGGAUUGUGUGAUUCUAGGAAAGAGCUCCACAUGCAUUUUGUGCUCCUGUGCGCAUGCACACGUGUACACACACACACACACACACACACACACACACACACACACACACACACACAAUCGAGUACGGUAAUAAGAAAACUGAGACCAAACAUUACUGAAGACUGAUAGACGUACAGGAACUGAAAAAGCAGGAAAUAGUGGGUUUCCACCAAACUAGAGGUACAGAACCUAGGCUAAGCUGUCAGACCUGAACAGAACUAUACUUGAUUCAUAUCUAUACUAACAAGACUUUUCUUCCAAGAAUUGAAGUAUUGACCCAAAUCCUUUUGCCUUCCUGCAGAAGAAUAAAGAAGAGAAAAUAGACCAGAAGAAAGCCUUCUGGGAAGACAUAAGAGAAAUCCUGUGUAUGGCAGGAUUUUCUAAAUGGGCUUCCUUUCCUUUUGCACAACUCUAUGGUGAAAGAAACAAAGGUAAGGAGGUGGGCCAUGGAGCAACAUUACCAAAAAGAACCUUCAGCCCACCAGUAGAGUCUUUACAAAAGGAAUCAUGUGAUGAAGUAACCCCAUGAAAAUCAGCAUCUGCCAAGGAGGCUGCAAAAACAUUCAUCGAGGGAAGGCUGGGUGAGUCACCACAGGUUUCUGACUUGGACAACCUGGUAUAGACGUGCUUCCACUGCAUCUGGGUCAACCACACAGGAGUAACACUGAAGCUCAAAAGUAAGGCAAGGUAGAGUUGUCUGAAGUCUGGAGCACUGAUCCCAACAGAGAACACUGGAUCAUCUGCCAUGUCCUCAGACUUCUGUUUCCAUGAAUCCAUUUACUCUCCUAUGAUAAGAACCUCCUGUGAUGAAUGGUGUCUUUUUUUUUAACUGCCUUGCUGUUGUCUUGUGCAGAAAUCAAUAUUUCUGGAUGUGUCUGUAAUUCGAUUGUAAAGAAAUUUCUGAGCUUGCCCUGAAGUUCUAAGGCCACAAAGGGACUUCCUCAUCCAUACAACAUAACAUGACUACAGACAGACUGUGGUGGUCUGGACUCUGUGUAUAUAUUUGUCCUGUCUGCAACACGUUAAUACUUGAUGGGGUUUCUCACAACCUCACAGCUCCUGGUAAAAUGUCCCACACUUUCUUCAAGGUGGAUGCUACGGGAUAUUAGGUGUUUGGCUCAAUCUAUGUCUGGAAGUCACAAACCUUGUAAGACAUGUGUGUCAGGUUAAGUUUAAGGCAACACUCAGAAGUACACAGGACAACACAAGUCCAGACCUUGAGUCCAGAGGCAAAAAUCUAGAGAUAGGAACUAAGAACAAAGAAGACAUGUCUGUACCAGGGGAGACACAGCAAAAGUUUUCCAUUUCUCUGGCUGUUUAGCUUACAGGACUCACCUGAGUUAGGAGAGUACUUUGUCCAAUGAGUCUGUGUACACACAGAGAAAUUUUACAAUCAGCUCAUAGUUACAUCAUGAGAUAUUGCUUGAUCUACUCUAGCUGACAAUAAAAAUCCAUGGCCACAUCUUCCAGACACCAGGAUCCAAAGCUUGGAGAAAAAAAUACCUACUAAUUAUUGGAAGGGGCUGAAGGAGAGCAUCUCAAAGGCUUUGCAUUUCUCUCCCAGGUUACCAGGCUGAGUUCUGUCUCAGGGAUAACAGACCUUGUUACCUCAGAUUUUUCUCUCUUUUGGACUUCAGUUAAGAAUAGGAGAGGCCUGCAUCAGCUGGUCCUCCCUCAGGAUUCAUGUGAGAAAUUCCUCACCUCAGCAAGGAAGAAAACUAAGAAAGGAAUCUAAACAUGUGGGGUGUUAUGUAGAUGCCUGGAAAAUAUAUAAACAUUUCUUAUCUGAGGCACUUUCCUCCCCCUUGCCUUUCUAUGAUUCUCAGGGAACAUAUCUAGGGUGUCUAUCCAUAUAUAUGAUACUAGAUUAGGAGCUAUGAGUGACAAAGCCAGGCACCUUAAAUUUGAUGACUUUGUAUGUGGUUGCUUCUCAGAAUUUUUUAAUUCAACAAUUUUGGUCAAUGAUAUAGUUAGAAAUUUUCAUUCCAGUUGGGGCUAGUGCCAGUAAUUCCAGUCACUGACAUAUUGAGCCUUCCUACAAGUUAAAAAUCAGACUCACAGUCAGAGUGCUAUAUUGUCUUAAAGAGAAGAAGGCAGACCGAAAAUCAGAGAGGCAGACAGCAAGACAUAAGGCAAGAAAAAGACUUGUAAGUUGUAAAAAGAAAAGAAGGACUCAAUUGCUUUUGGGUCCUGGUCUGCUUUUGGGUCCUUACCUACUCUGGUAAGCCUUGGAAUAUAAAUUAUCUUAUAACCUCCAGACUCCUAAGAAGACUUGCAGGUUGAUGCAGGGAAGUGCAUAGGUUCAGAAGGUGUCAGGUUCUACUCAACAUCUGUUCCUUUAUACUGUACCUCAACAAAAGACAAGAGCACCCAAGGUCUUAAAACACCAAAGGGAGAAAAAGCACUGAGAUUCAUACCCUGGUGUGGGCUGGGGCUUCAUGAGUGUUUUGAGAGGGUCUAAGACCUCCAAGUAUUGUGAUGUUAUCUCUCGGCAGGUUGGACAAGAGUAUCAGGUGACCAACAUUGUCAGGAAGGAGACACACAUUACUGUUUUACUGAAAAUGAGGAGCUCUUUUUCAUCCAAGAAGAACUGGGCCUGCUUACAUUAGGGUGGAUCUAUGUAAGCAAGUAGACCUCAAUGUCCGAUGGUUUCUCUUGUCUGUCUCUUAGAACCAUCUUACAUAAAUCUUGCUCUUAACAGAGUCAAUCCAUUCCUGAUCAUCUCUGAACAUAGCCAAUAGUGUCCAGUUUGAGUCAAAAGAGAAUUUCCUAGUACUUUACAGCUCUUUUUAUUUUACAUCUUACUUGAAGUAAUUCUUCAAAGUUCCAAUUCCAUGUGAGUCUGCUUGCCAAGAUGUAUGAGAAUAACAUAUACAGACCAUACGCCUAAAAGUUGUAGAAAUGAAACUUAAAUAAUCAAGGGUGUCCUAUCUGAUGAGUGUGUUUUUUUAUUUAUGAAGAAGUACUUUGUUUCUGCAUACCUGAAAGCUUCUACAUGCAAGGUAUUCAAGUGGUUGCACCUGCCCAGCACACUUCUGUUGAUUAUCAAGGGAACACAGCAACUGGCCUAGGCCUUCCUUCAAAUGUCUCUCUUAUUUUUAUU